GGUUUACCUGUGUGACUGCGUACCUUUUGUAUAAUGGGUCAGCGACUUAUAUUCUGUAGCAAGGUUAACCGAAUAGGGGAGCCGGAGGGAAACCGAGUCUUAAUUGGGCGUUAAGUUGCAGGGUAUAGACCCGAAACCCGGUGAUCUAGCCAUGGGCAGGUUGAAGGUUGGGUAACACUAACUGGAGGACCGAACCGACUAAUGUUGAAAAAUUAGCGGAUGACCUGUGGCUGGGGGUGAAAGGCCAAUCAAACCGGGAGAUAGCUGGUUCUCCCCGAAAGCUAUUUAGGUAGCGCCUCGUGAAUUCAUCUCCGGGGGUAGAGCACUGUUUCGGCUAGGGGGCCAUCCCGGCUUACCAACCCGAUGCAAACUGCGAAUACCGGAGAAUGUUAUCACGGGAGACACACGGCGGGUGCUAACGUCCGUCGUGAAGAGGGAAACAACCCAGACCGCCAGCUAAGGUCCCAAAGUCAUGGUUAAGUGGGAAACGAUGUGGGAAGGCCCAGACAGCCAGGAUGUUGGCUUAGAAGCAGCCAUCAUUUAAAGAAAGCGUAAUAGCUCACUGGUCGAGUCGGCCUGCGCGGAAGAUGUAACGGGGCUAAACCAUGCACCGAAGCUGCGGCAGCGACACUGUGUGUUGUUGGGUAGGGGAGCGUUCUGUAAGCCUGUGAAGGUGUGUCGUGAGGC
Molecule: ribosomal RNA, 687 nt
Filed under: Salmonella enterica
Lineage: Bacteria; Pseudomonadati; Pseudomonadota; Gammaproteobacteria; Enterobacterales; Enterobacteriaceae
Also listed under: 2 other names
Description: partial 23S ribosomal RNA
Rfam family: Bacterial large subunit ribosomal RNA
Source: RNAcentral